This 650-nucleotide ribosomal RNA is filed under the name uncultured fungus. RNAcentral describes it as "eukaryotic LSU rRNA". It matches the Rfam family "Eukaryotic large subunit ribosomal RNA", at positions 23 to 641 of the family's 3401-position model. The record is from RNAcentral. Lineage: Eukaryota; Fungi.
ACCCGCUGAACUUAAGCAUAUCAAUAAGCGGAGGAAAAGAAACCAACAGGGAUUGCCUCAGUAACGGCGAGUGAAGCGGCAAGAGCUCAAAUUUAAAAGCCGACGUAGCUUUAAGAGACGUCCGCAUUGUAAUUUGAAGAGGCAUUCUCGGGUCGGGGCUCAGGCCUAAGUUCCUUGGAAGAGGGCGUCGUGGAGGGUGAGAACCCCGUUCGCGGCCUGCUGUCGACCUUUCCCCGAUCCACACGAGGUGCCAUCGAAGAGUCGAGUUGUUUGGGAAUGCAGCUCAAAGCGGGUGGUAAAUUCCAUCUAAAGCUAAAUAUUGACGGGAGACCGAUAGCGAACAAGUAGAGUGAUCGAAAGAUGAAAAGCACUUUGGAAAGAGAGUUAAACAGCACGUGAAAUUGUUGAAAGGGAAGCGCUUGAGACCAGUCACGGACCGAGGCGAUCAGUGGGACGUCCCUCUCGGGGGAGGAACCGCGCACUCGCUUUUCGGGUUUUCCGGGUCAACAUCGGUUGGGACGGUGUCAGAAAGGUCGCGGGAACGUGGCUCCCUCCACGGGGAGUGUUAUAGCCCGUGGCGUCAAAGUCGCCAGUUUCGACCGAGGACCGCGCUCGUCUUUUUCGAGCAAGGAUGUUGACGUAAUGGUCCC